This 254-nucleotide ribosomal RNA is filed under the name uncultured bacterium. RNAcentral's name for it is "partial 16S ribosomal RNA". It matches the Rfam family "Bacterial small subunit ribosomal RNA", at positions 524 to 776 of the family's 1533-position model. The record is from RNAcentral.
UACAGAGGUCUCAAGCGUUGUUCGGAUUUAUUGGGCGUAAAGAGCUCGUAGGCGGUGUGUCACGUCGUUCGUGAAAACCUGCAGCUUAACUGUGGGCGUGCGGUCGAUACGGGCAUCACUGGAGUUCGGCAGGGGAGACUGGAAUUCCUGGUGUAGCGGUGAAAUGCGCAGAUAUCAGGAGGAACACCGGUGGCGAAGGCGGGUCUCUGGGCCGAUACUGACGCUGAGGAGCGAAAGCGUGGGGAGCAAACAGG